This 253-nucleotide ribosomal RNA is filed under the name uncultured bacterium. RNAcentral's name for it is "partial 16S ribosomal RNA". It matches the Rfam family "Bacterial small subunit ribosomal RNA", at positions 524 to 776 of the family's 1533-position model. The record is from RNAcentral.
UACAGAGGUCUCAAGCGUUGUUCGGAUUCAUUGGGCGUAAAGGGUGCGUAGGCGGCGCGGUAAGUCGGAUGUGAAAUCUCGGAGCUUAACUCCGAAACUGCAUUCGAUACUGCCGUGCUUGAGGACUGGAGAGGAGACUGGAAUUUACGGUGUAGCGGCGAAAUGCGUAGAUAUCGUAAGGAAGACCAGUGGCGAAGGCGGGUCUCUGGACAGUUCCUGACGCUGAGGCACGAAGGUCAGGGGAGCAAACGGG